Molecule: ribosomal RNA, 465 nt
Filed under: Vreelandella stevensii
Lineage: Bacteria; Pseudomonadati; Pseudomonadota; Gammaproteobacteria; Oceanospirillales; Halomonadaceae
Description: partial 16S ribosomal RNA
Rfam family: Bacterial small subunit ribosomal RNA
Source: RNAcentral
CCUACGGGGGGCAGCAGUGGGGAAUAUUGGACAAUGGGGGGAACCCUGAUCCAGCCAUGCCGCGUGUGUGAAGAAGGCCCUCGGGUUGUAAAGCACUUUCAGUGAGGAAGAACGCCUGGUGGUUAAUACCCAUCAGGAAAGACAUCACUCUCAGAAGAAGCACCGGCUAACUCCGUGCCAGCAGCCGCGGUAAUACGGAGGGUGCGAGCGUUAAUCGGAAUUACUGGGCGUAAAGCGCGCGUAGGUGGCUUGAUAAGCCGGUUGUGAAAGCCCCGGGCUCAACCUGGGAACGGCAUCCGGAACUGUCAAGCUAGAGUGCAGGAGAGGAAGGUAGAAUUCCCGGUGUAGCGGUGAAAUGCGUAGAGAUCGGGAGGAAUACCAGUGGCGAAGGCGGCCUUCUGGACUGACACUGACACUGAGGUGCGAAAGCGUGGGUAGCAAACAGGAUUAGAUACCCGAGUAGUC